AUUUUAAAAAUACAUCAUAAGUUUAAUAACCGCAAUCGGCUGAAGAGGACUUUAAUUGAUCCUAUAAUGCCCUGAGGAAGAGGGCUUUUAGUCGGUAGGUCCGAGGACACCUUCCUUGGGAAUCCGACACUACCCAAUCGUAAGGACGACUGGGUGUCUUUCGAAGAUUUCCCCACUUCCACGAAA
Non-coding RNA from Agrilus planipennis (emerald ash borer), 186 nucleotides. NCBI's taxonomy places the organism in Eukaryota, Metazoa, Arthropoda, Insecta, Coleoptera, Buprestidae. The record is from Rfam.